This 72-nucleotide transfer RNA is filed under the name bacterium. Its description in RNAcentral is "tRNA-Thr". It matches the Rfam family "tRNA". From Rfam's summary of the family: Transfer RNA (tRNA) molecules are approximately 80 nucleotides in length. Their secondary structure includes four short double-helical elements and three loops (D, anti-codon, and T loops). The record is from RNAcentral.
GCCACCGUAGCUCAACGGUAGAGCAGCCGCUUCGUAAGCGGCAGGUUAAGGGUUCAAAUCCCUUCGGUGGCU